AUGUGGACUCCCAGUGUAGACUCGAUCGGCUGAAUGACCUAACUCUGCUCCUCUGACAUGAGCUUCUGAACUUACAG
Long non-coding RNA from Amblyraja radiata (thorny skate), 77 nucleotides. RefSeq lists it as uncharacterized. The record is from RefSeq and is a predicted model, not a curated record. The transcript is spliced from 3 exons. NCBI's taxonomy places the organism in Eukaryota, Metazoa, Chordata, Chondrichthyes, Rajiformes, Rajidae.